This 253-nucleotide ribosomal RNA is filed under the name uncultured bacterium. Its description in RNAcentral is "partial 16S ribosomal RNA". It matches the Rfam family "Bacterial small subunit ribosomal RNA", at positions 524 to 776 of the family's 1533-position model. The record is from RNAcentral.
AACGUAGGAGACAAACGUUAUCCGGAUUUACUGGGCGUAAAGGGCGUGCAGGCGGUCUGUUAAGUUCGGCGUGAAAGCGCCUGGCUAAACCGGGCGAGGUCGUCGGAGACUGGCAGACUAGAGGGUGAUAGAGGCGGGUGGAAUUCCGGGUGUAGUGGUGAAAUGCGUAGAGAUCCGGAGGAACACCAGUGGCGAAGGCGACCCGCUGGGUCACACCUGACGCUGAGACGCGACAGCAUGGGGAGCGAACGGG